This 487-nucleotide microRNA precursor is filed under the name Oryza sativa (Asian cultivated rice). Its description in RNAcentral is "miR7695 stem-loop (osa-MIR7695)". Lineage: Eukaryota; Viridiplantae; Streptophyta; Magnoliopsida; Poales; Poaceae. The record is from miRBase by way of RNAcentral.
GAGUAAAAUGCACUAGCGGUCCUUAAACUUAUCGGGAGGUUUCACUUAAGUCCACGAACUUGCAAAGCGCACAUCGAGGUCUCUAAACUUGGUUUAUUGUAUCAUCCCGGUCCAAAGCCACGUUUGAUUGUGGUCUUGCCUAUGUGGCACGCCACGUGAAUGAUGACAUGGAAUUUUUUUUAUUUUUUUCUCCCUUCUUCCUUCUUUUUUCACCACUGCGACAACCCCUCCCCUCGUUCCGCCUCUCACCACCGAGAAAAAAGAAGGAAGAAAGAGAAAAAAAGAAGGAAGAAGGGAGAAAAAAAUAAAAAAAAUUCCAUGUCAUUAUCCACGUGAUGUGCCACGUAGGCAAGACCACAGUCAAAUGCGGCUUUGAACCGGAAUGAUAUAAUAAACCAAGUUUAGGGAUCUCGAUGUGCACUUUGCAAGUUCGUGGAUCUAAGUGAAACCUCCUGACAAGUUUAAGAACCGCUGGUGUAUUUUACUC